Molecule: transfer RNA, 75 nt
Filed under: Daphnia galeata
Lineage: Eukaryota; Metazoa; Arthropoda; Branchiopoda; Diplostraca; Daphniidae
Rfam family: tRNA
About the family: Transfer RNA (tRNA) molecules are approximately 80 nucleotides in length. Their secondary structure includes four short double-helical elements and three loops (D, anti-codon, and T loops).
Source: Rfam by way of RNAcentral
GGUUUGGUUGCUCAGUUGGUUAGAGCACCGUGUUCGCAACGCGGAGGUCAUGGGUUCCAUCCCCAAUCCAAGCCA